This 259-nucleotide unclassified non-coding RNA is filed under the name uncultured Diaporthales. RNAcentral describes it as "sequence contains 5.8S rRNA gene, ITS2, 28S rRNA gene". The stretch from base 1 to 52 matches the Rfam family "5.8S ribosomal RNA", at positions 103 to 154 of the family's 154-position model. The record is from RNAcentral. Lineage: Eukaryota; Fungi; Ascomycota; Sordariomycetes; Diaporthales.
AACGCACAUUGCGCCCGCUGGUAUUCCAGCGGGCAUGCCUGUUCGAGCGUCAUUUCAACCCUCAAGCUCUGCUUGGUGUUGGGGCGCUGCCGCUCUUCUCGAGAGGCAGGCCCUGAAAUUUAGUGGCGAGCUCGCCAGGACUCCGAGCGUAGUAGUUUUUAACCUCGCUUAGGAAGGACUGGUGGUGCCCUGCCGUAAAACCCCCCAAAAUUUCUGAAAAGUUGACCUCGGAUCAGGUAGGAAUACCCGCUGAACUUAA